UCUAAAAAGAAUGUACAGUAACUUUUCACAUAUGAAAAGCUACUGUAGCCCCCCAUCUUCAACCAUAUCAUAAUUACCCGCCAUCUCAUCUUCUCCCGCCCUCUCGUUCUUUUCCUUUCCCGUGGCAAUGGCAGAACCAAGAGAGUGGAUGUGAAUGCUCUAAAUACUUCCCCACUCAGAUGCUUUUCACCGCUCAAACCCAAUCGGCAUCGCUCUUUCUUCGUAAUUUUUGGUUGAGUUAAUUGCACGUUUGAUCAAAUGGUUCGUACAUUCUUUCGCAAUUUGUUGAGAUACCUAUCUUCAGAAGAAGAUGAUAGCGAUGAUGAUCUUGAUGAGGAUACAACAAGGAGUGAAAGAGAUCCCCGAAUUGUUUAUCGUUGGAAGGCCAGAUGUGACAAUUGUGGCGUUGGGCAUAUUGUCCUCUAAAGACUGGCAUUUAAGUCCCUUGCAGAGACCCAACAUGUAUCUGAUCAUAAUAAUUUCAUUUCGUGAAAUAAUAAUCUGGAAAUGACAUUUCGAACGUAUUGUUCAUAUGUCAGCAUUCAUAUAUGUGUGACCCUUCAACAUGUGCCUGUUGUUGAUGAAUUCCUCAAUGAUUUAAAGGAUUCAGGGCAAAAUGUAAGUCUCCAAAUUUUCUUGUUUAGAAAACUUUUCAUUUAUUUGGAUUAGGAUCAAAUACAAAGUGGAUAUUACUUGAGAAGGGUACCAAGUGCUUUUGGACCGUUGAUUACACUAUUUCAAUGGUGAAGAUUGAGCGGCAAGAUCGUAAUUAACAGUGAAGGUUAAUGUUGAUUUUUUGUUUUAAAUCUAGCUGCAACGUUUUUCUUUUAAAGUUGUCCUGGCCUGACACAUGAACGAACCGUGUGGUUACAAUUGUGCGUCCUAACCAUUACAACGUCACGUCUAAAACCACCUUUAAUUUAACAGAAGCAUCUACCCAUCACACACAAAAAUCACUCUGUACAAGAACCAGCUUCUAUAUGUAUUUCACCUUGCUGAUAAAUUGUUCGUUAUUUUUUAGGUGAAAAAGAAUCCCGGGCCAAUAAGCGAAGGACUUGCGCCGAUACAUGGUGCGGUCGGGAAGAUUCCGGAUAGAGGUAUGGUUAGUGAAAUACUGGUAGACUACAUGGGCAAUGCAUGCUAAUAUAAUUCUUGGGGUGUUUGGAUCCACUUAUCUGUCAAAAGCUUUCGAAGGAAAGGAUAGUGCACAUUGUGUGUUGAUGAUAUGUAAAUUGUUUUAUACAAGUUUGUAGAUGUACAUGUAAAAGUAAUUCAAAUACCAUCUAUUUUUAACCCUGAAUUUGCAA
Long non-coding RNA from Helianthus annuus (common sunflower), 1307 nucleotides. RefSeq lists it as uncharacterized. The record is from RefSeq and is a predicted model, not a curated record. The transcript has 3 exons. NCBI's taxonomy places the organism in Eukaryota, Viridiplantae, Streptophyta, Magnoliopsida, Asterales, Asteraceae.